GACGAACGCUGGCGGCGUGCCUAAUACAUGCAAGUAGAACGCACAGUUUAUACCCUAGCUUGCUUCACGAUAGACUGUGAGGUGCGAACGAGUGAGUAACACGUAGGUAACCUGCCUGGGAUCGGUGGGUAACUAUGGGAAACGAUAGCUAAUACCUCAUGAUAUUAAUUAUUGCAUGAUAAUUAAUGGAAAUGUUCAAUUGCACCACUACCAUAUGGACCUGCGUUGUAGUAGCUAGUAGGUGAGGUAACGGCUCACCUAGGCGACGAUACAUAGCCGAACCGAGAGGGGGAUACGGCAACAUGGGAACUGGACACGGCCCCGACUCCUAAGGGAGGGAGCCGGAGGGAAACCUUGGGAAUGGACGAAAGUCUGAACGAGCCACGCCGCGGGAGGGAAGAAGGGUUUCGGAUCGUAAAGCUUUGUUGUAAGAGAAGAAAGGAUGUGGGAGUGGAAAGUUCACAUCGUGACGGUAUCUUACCAGAAAGCGACGGCUAACUACGUG
This 505-nucleotide ribosomal RNA is filed under the name uncultured bacterium. RNAcentral describes it as "partial 16S ribosomal RNA". It matches the Rfam family "Bacterial small subunit ribosomal RNA", at positions 28 to 507 of the family's 1533-position model. The record is from RNAcentral.